This 492-nucleotide long non-coding RNA is filed under the name Ananas comosus (pineapple). RNAcentral describes it as "long non-coding RNA (ACOM_LNC009301)". Lineage: Eukaryota; Viridiplantae; Streptophyta; Magnoliopsida; Poales; Bromeliaceae. The record is from RNAcentral.
AAAGGUUCAUUCUUCAUCAACAUUCUGGAUUGCUGUGAUAUACUACUAGGUGUCACUCACAGACGGUGAGAGAAUAUGAAUGAUUUGAAUUGAAUUGUUCUUAUUUAUCGAUUAGAAGAGUUCUAAUUAAAUAUCAAAGAGUUUGAUGUUGAGCUCCACUGCCGAAUGGUAAUGAACCUAUACAAUCACACACAUUAGGAAUUGUGUGCACCUGAAUCGUUUGGAUGAAAGUCGUUCACUAAAGAGUUUAGUAUAAGCGAUGAAAAUAAAAAGAAACUGCUUAAUUAAAUUAGAUUUAAUUAUUCAAUUCGGUUGUAACUGAUAGUCCUAAUUAGAUUAAGAUCUCAGAAUCAGUUUGAGAAUUAUGCGCGAGAUUUAAAUUUAUCUCUAAUUAAAUUAGUGGAUAAUAUUUAAUCAUAAAAGAUAUUUAAAUGAGAUUUAAAUAUUAGUAAGUAAUCUUACUGGAUAAGAUUAAAAUUAGAUAAGAUCUAA